UACGUAGGGUGCAAGCGUUGUCCGGAAUUACUGGGCGUAAAGAGCUCGUAGGUGGUUUGUCGCGUUGUUCGUGAAAACUCACAGCUCAACUGUGGGCGUGCGGGCGAUACGGGCAGACUGGAGUACUGCAGGGGAGACUGGAAUUCCUGGUGUAGCGGUGGAAUGCGCAGAUAUCAGGAGGAACACCGGUGGCGAAGGCGGGUCUCUGGGCAGUAACUGACGCUGAGGAGCGAAAGCGUGGGGGAGCGAACAGG
RNAcentral lists this ribosomal RNA (254 nucleotides) under uncultured bacterium. RNAcentral's name for it is "partial 16S ribosomal RNA". It matches the Rfam family "Bacterial small subunit ribosomal RNA", at positions 524 to 776 of the family's 1533-position model. The record is from RNAcentral.